Molecule: non-coding RNA, 30 nt
Filed under: Rattus norvegicus (Norway rat)
Lineage: Eukaryota; Metazoa; Chordata; Mammalia; Rodentia; Muridae
Source: RNAcentral
UUGGUGCUCCCAUGUGUACUUAGACUUGGU